RNAcentral lists this ribosomal RNA (335 nucleotides) under uncultured bacterium. Its description in RNAcentral is "bacterial SSU rRNA". It matches the Rfam family "Bacterial small subunit ribosomal RNA", at positions 466 to 793 of the family's 1533-position model. The record is from RNAcentral.
CGUUUGACGUUAGCGACAGAAGAAAGCACCGGCUAACUCCGUGCCAGCAGCCGCGGUAAUACGGAGGGUGCGAGCGUUAAUCGGAAUUACUGGGCGUAAAGCGCAUGCAGGUGGUUUGUUAAGUCAGAUGUGAAAGACCCGGGGCGUCAACCUCGGAAUAGCAUUUGUAAACUAGGCAGACUAGAGUACUGUAGAGGGGGGUAGGAAUUUCAGGUGUAGCGGUGAAAUGCGUAGAGAUCUGAAGGAAUACCGGUGGCGAAGGCGGCCCCCUCGGACAGAUACUGACACUCAGAUGCGAAAGCGUGGGGAGCAAACAGGAUUAGAUACCCUGGUAG